GACGAACGCUGGCGGCGUGCCUAAUACAUGCAAGUUGAGCGCUUAAGGUUGGUACUUGUACCAACUGGAUGAGCAGCGCACGGGUGAGUAACGCGUGGGGAAUCUGCCUUUGAGCGGGGGACAACAUUUGGAAACGAAUGCUAAUACCUCAUAAAAACUUUAAACACAAGUUUUAAGUUUGAAAGAUGCAAUUGCAUCACUCAAAGAUGAUCCCGCGUUGUAUUAGCUAGUUGGUGAGGUAAAGGCUCACCAAGGCGAUGAUACAUAGCCGACCUGAGAGGGUGAUCGGCCACAUUGAGACUGAGACACGGCCCAAACGGCUACGGGAGGCAGCAGUAGGGAAUAGUCGGCAAAGGACGAAAGUCUGACCGAGCAACGCAGCGAGAGGGAAGAAGGGUUUCGGAUCGUAAAAAUCGGUUGGUAGAGAAGAACGUUGGUGGGAGUGGAAAGCUCAUCAAGUGACGGUAACUACACAGAAAGGGACGGCUAACUACGUG
Molecule: ribosomal RNA, 497 nt
Filed under: uncultured bacterium
Lineage: Bacteria
Description: partial 16S ribosomal RNA
Rfam family: Bacterial small subunit ribosomal RNA
Source: RNAcentral